This 305-nucleotide unclassified non-coding RNA is filed under the name plant metagenome. Its description in RNAcentral is "partial contains 5.8S ribosomal RNA, internal transcribed spacer 2, and large subunit ribosomal RNA". The stretch from base 1 to 105 matches the Rfam family "5.8S ribosomal RNA", at positions 50 to 154 of the family's 154-position model. The record is from RNAcentral.
GAAAUGCGAUAAGUAGUGUGAAUUGCAGAAUUCAGUGAAUCAUCAAAUCUUUGAACGCACAUUGCGCCCUUUGGUAUUCCUUAGGGCAUGCCUGUUCGAGCGUCAUCUAAACCUUCAAGCCCUGCUUGGUGUUGGGUGCCUGUCCCGCCUCCGCGCGCGGACUCACCUCAAAUCCAUUGGCGGCCCCCGCGUCGGCCACGAGCGCAGCAGAAACGCGAACUCGUGAGCCCGUCCGGGCGGCUCCCAGAAGCUACACCCACCCAGUUUGACCUCGGAUCAGGUAGGGAUACCCGCUGAACUUAAGC